Molecule: ribosomal RNA, 1379 nt
Filed under: uncultured bacterium
Lineage: Bacteria
Description: bacterial SSU rRNA
Rfam family: Bacterial small subunit ribosomal RNA
Source: RNAcentral
GACGAACGCUGGCGGCGUGCCUAAUACAUGCAAGUCGAGCGAAGUUUUUCUGGUGCUUGCACUAGAAAAACUUAGCGGCGAACGGGUGAGUAACACGUAAAGGACCUGCCUCAUAGACUGGGACAACUAUUGGAAACGAUAGCUAAUACCGGAUAACAGUAUUUCUCGCAUGAGAGAUAUUUAAAAGUUGGUUAUGCUAACACUAUGAGAUGGCUUUGCGGUGCAUUAGCUAGUUGGUGGGGUAAAGGCCCACCCAGGCGACCAAGCCUAACCCAACUGAAAAGGUGAUCGGGCUCGACGGGACUUAAAACCCGGCCAAAAUCCCUAAGGAAGGCAGCGGAAGGAAUCCUCCCCCAUGGGGCAAAAGCCUAGGGAACUCCGCCGCGCGUGUGAAAAGAAAGUCCUCAGAUCACAGCUCUCUGUUGUUAGGAAAGAACAAAUGUGUGAAUCACUAUGCGCGUCUCGACGGUACAUCAUCUGAUAGCCACGGUUAAGUACGUGCCAGCACCCGCGGUAGAUACGUAGGUGCAAAGCGUUGUCGGAAUAUUGGGGCGUAAAGCGCGCGCAGGUGGUUUAAUAAGUCUGAUGUGAAAGCCCACGGCUCAACCGUGGAGGGUCAUUGGAAACUGUUAAACUUGAGUGCAGGAGAGAAAAGUGGAAUUCCUAGUGUAGCGGUGAAAUACGUAGAGAUUAGGAGGAACACCAGUGGCGAAGGCGGCUUUUUGGCCUGUAACUGACACUGAGGCGCGAAAGCGUGGGGAGCAAACAGGAUUAGAUACCCUGGUAGUCCACGCCGUAAACGAUGAGUGCUAAGUGUUGGUCUCAUAAGAGAUCAGUGCUGCAGCUAACGCAUUAAGCACUCCGCCUGGGGAGUACGACCGCAAGGUUGAAACUCAAAGGAAUUGACGGGGACCCGCACAAGCGGUGGAGCAUGUGGUUUAAUUCGAAGCAACGCGAAGAACCUUACCAAGUCUUGACAUACUGUGAGGACACAAGAGAUUGUGUUGUUCUGACCUUUGGUUAGACACAGAUACAGGUGGUGCAUGGUUGUCGUCAGCUCGUGUCGUGAGAUGUUGGGUUAAGUCCCGCAACGAGCGCAACCCUUAUAUCUAGUUGCCAGCAGUAAGAUGGGGACUCUAGAUAGACUGCCAGUGAUAAACUGGAGGAAGGUGGGGAUGACGUCAAAUCAUCAUGCCCCUUAUGACUUGGGCUACACACGUGCUACAAUGGAUAGGAACAAAGAGAAGCGAGCUCGCGAGAGUCAGCCAACCUCAUAAAACUAUUCUCAGUUCGGAUUGUAGUCUGCAACUCGACUACAUGAAGCUGGAAUCGCUAGUAAUCGCGAAUCAGAAUGUCGCGGUGAAUACGUUCCCGGGUCU